This 301-nucleotide ribosomal RNA is filed under the name uncultured bacterium. RNAcentral's name for it is "partial 16S ribosomal RNA". It matches the Rfam family "Bacterial small subunit ribosomal RNA", at positions 509 to 808 of the family's 1533-position model. The record is from RNAcentral.
CAGCACCGCGGUAAUACAGAGGGUGCGAGCGUUAAUCGGAUUUACUGGGCGUAAAGCGUGCGUAGGCGGCUUUUUAAGUCGGAUGUGAAAUCCCUGAGCUUAACUUAGGAAUUGCAUUCGAUACUGGGAAGCUAGAGUAUGGGAGAGGAUGGUAGAAUUCCAGGUGUAGCGGUGAAAUGCGUAGAGAUCUGGAGGAAUACCGAUGGCGAAGGCAGCCAUCUGGCCUAAUACUGACGCUGAGGUACGAAAGCAUGGGGAGCAAACAGGAUUAGAUACCCCUGUAGUCCCUGUCUCUUAUACC